RNAcentral lists this ribosomal RNA (459 nucleotides) under uncultured bacterium. RNAcentral's name for it is "partial 16S ribosomal RNA". It matches the Rfam family "Bacterial small subunit ribosomal RNA", at positions 338 to 795 of the family's 1533-position model. The record is from RNAcentral.
CCUACGGGAGGCAGCAGUGAGGAAUAUUGGUCAAUGGGCGAGAGCCUGAACCAGCCAAGCCGCGUGAGGGAAGACGGCCCUAUGGGUUGUAAACCUCUUUUGUCGGAGAACAAAACCCGGGACGUGUCCCGGACUGCGUGUAUCCGAAGAAAAAGCAUCGGCUAACUCCGUGCCAGCAGCCGCGGUAAUACGGAGGAUGCGAGCGUUAUCCGGAUUUAUUGGGUUUAAAGGGUGCGCAGGGGGUCCGGUAAGUCAGCGGGAAAAUCGCGGGGCUCAACCCCGUCGCGCCGUUGAAACUGGCAGACUUGAGUUGGCGAGAAGUAGGCGGAAUGCGCGGUGUAGCGGUGAAAUGCAUAGAUAUCGCGCAGAACUCCGAUUGCGAAGGCAGCGUACCGGCGCCAGACUGACGCUGAGGCACGAAAGCGUGGGGAUCGAACAGGAUUAGAUACCCGAGUAGUC